AGUUCGAAAAAUCUUAGUGCAACUAUAGGUGGUUCAUAACCAAUUAUUUCUCUAAAUAACUUCUAGCAAUUAGAUUUUGCCCUAGAUAUCUCUUCAAUAGGCAUGUGGCACCUCCACUAAAAAUCUUGGUUAGGUCCAACCAUUAACAUGACUACACCAAGCACAUCCAACAAAUGAAUGUCUAGAUCUGAGUGUAGCUCGGCCAAUCUGAGCA
This 214-nucleotide long non-coding RNA is filed under the name Elaeis guineensis (African oil palm). Its description in RNAcentral is "long non-coding RNA (EGUI_LNC020303)". Lineage: Eukaryota; Viridiplantae; Streptophyta; Magnoliopsida; Arecales; Arecaceae. The record is from RNAcentral.